Molecule: ribosomal RNA, 838 nt
Filed under: Lactiplantibacillus plantarum
Lineage: Bacteria; Bacillati; Bacillota; Bacilli; Lactobacillales; Lactobacillaceae
Description: bacterial SSU rRNA
Rfam family: Bacterial small subunit ribosomal RNA
Source: RNAcentral
UGCAAGUCGAACGAACUCUGGUAUUGAUUGGUGCUUGCAUCAUGAUUUACAUUUGAGUGAGUGGCGAACUGGUGAGUAACACGUGGGAAACCUGCCCAGAAGCGGGGGAUAACACCUGGAAACAGAUGCUAAUACCGCAUAACAACUUGGACCGCAUGGUCCGAGUUUGAAAGAUGGCUUCGGCUAUCACUUUUGGAUGGUCCCGCGGCGUAUUAGCUAGAUGGUGGGGUAACGGCUCACCAUGGCAAUGAUACGUAGCCGACCUGAGAGGGUAAUCGGCCACAUUGGGACUGAGACACGGCCCAAACUCCUACGGGAGGCAGCAGUAGGGAAUCUUCCACAAUGGACGAAAGUCUGAUGGAGCAACGCCGCGUGAGUGAAGAAGGGUUUCGGCUCGUAAAACUCUGUUGUUAAAGAAGAACAUAUCUGAGAGUAACUGUUCAGGUAUUGACGGUAUUUAACCAGAAAGCCACGGCUAACUACGUGCCAGCAGCCGCGGUAAUACGUAGGUGGCAAGCGUUGUCCGGAUUUAUUGGGCGUAAAGCGAGCGCAGGCGGUUUUUUAAGUCUGAUGUGAAAGCCUUCGGCUCAACCGAAGAAGUGCAUCGGAAACUGGGAAACUUGAGUGCAGAAGAGGACAGUGGAACUCCAUGUGUAGCGGUGAAAUGCGUAGAUAUAUGGAAGAACACCAGUGGCGAAAGGCGGCUGUCUGGUCUGUAACUGACGCUGAGGCUCGAAAGUAUGGGUAGCAAACAGGAUUAGAUACCCUGGUAGUCCAUACCGUAACGAUGAAUGCUAAGUGUUGGAGGGUUUCGCCCUCAGUGCUGCAGCUAACGCAU